RNAcentral lists this long non-coding RNA (762 nucleotides) under Pan troglodytes (chimpanzee). Its description in RNAcentral is "long non-coding RNA NONPTRT012267". The record is from RNAcentral. Lineage: Eukaryota; Metazoa; Chordata; Mammalia; Primates; Hominidae.
UUCAGAUCAUCUGAAAUGAAGCCCUACACAGCCCAAGGACACGCCCACGUCUGCGACAGAACGCACACUGAGAGCUUCCUGUUGCCUGGGAAACGCGUUAAAUGUGCUACAGAGACACAGACUUGUAUCCAACAUUUCAGAGGUAGUCAGUAUGCAGCAGGAAAACAAAAUAAAACGCAGGCUGAAAUGGGUGGGAUCCAAGGAAUCAAAGCAGUAGAUGGACGACCAGGAGCACCCCAGGUUAUCUUCAGGAAACAGAGCGACAAAACGCAAAGAGACAGGAUUUCGCCAUGUUGCUCAGACACUGGUCUCGAACUCCAGGACUCAAACUGGAACUGGGCUUAAACUCCUGGACUCCCGCCUCAGCCUCCCAAAGUGCUGGGAUUACAGGCGCCCGGCCUCAGGGCCCUUUUCUUAGAGGGAGUGGAGAACUGGCCCAGGUGGGGGAGUAAGACAAGCUGCCACCUAGCCGGGCUGUGCCUGGCUGCCGUGCCUGAAGAGCCCACCGUGGAUUCUCUCCAUGCUGGUCGGGCAGCAGCCGAGGGACUGACCAGAGAGGAAGAGCAGGAUCCCAGAGGAAGGGACAGUGAAAGCAUUAAGAUAAGCAGCAUUCCACUAUAAAUCUUACACAAAAUGCCACAUCCACUGAUCACACGACCUUGAAAAAUGAAGAUAGGCAGCGUCGCACUUUCAAUCUUGUACUUCAGGGAAUGAACUCCAUUGCCUUUGUGUGCACGAAGCCGGAAGCACGACCACUCUUCA